CCCGACCGUUGCUGCUACCUUGACGUGGUGGUCGGGCUUGCCUGCCGUAAUGAACCAAUAGAGCUAUACUGGAUGGAACAAUCGUUCCUCAAAGUCCAAUCAUGCCAGACAAGUCGGUUGAAGAGCGGUAAGGCUAAAAGCAGC
This 144-nucleotide non-coding RNA is filed under the name Schistosoma mansoni. Lineage: Eukaryota; Metazoa; Platyhelminthes; Trematoda; Strigeidida; Schistosomatidae. The record is from RNAcentral.